Molecule: ribosomal RNA, 301 nt
Filed under: uncultured bacterium
Lineage: Bacteria
Description: partial 16S ribosomal RNA
Rfam family: Bacterial small subunit ribosomal RNA
Source: RNAcentral
CAGCCGCCGCGGUAAUACGAAGGGUGCAAGCGUUAAUCGGAAUUACUGGGCGUAAAGCGUGCGUAGGCGGUUUGUUAAGUCUGUUGUGAAAUCCCCGGGCUCAACCUGGGAAUGGCAGUGGAUACUGGCUCGCUAGAGUGUGUCAGAGGAUGGUGGAAUUCCCGGUGUAGCGGUGAAAUGCGUAGAGAUCGGGAGGAACAUCAGUGGCGAAGGCGGCCAUCUGGGACAACACUGACGCUGAGGCACGAAAGCGUGGGGAGCAAACAGGAUUGGAUACCCCGGUAGUCCCUGUCUCUUAUAC